UAAAUACUCUCUAGUGACCGAUAGUGAACCAGUACCGUGAGGGAAAGGUGAAAAGCACCCCGGAAGGGGAGUGAAAUAGAACCUGAAACCGUGUGCUUACAAGUAGUCAGAGCCCGUUAAUGGGUGAUGGCGUGCCUUUUGUAGAAUGAACCGGCGAGUUACGAUUUGAUGCAAGGUUAAGCAGUAAAUGUGGAGCCGUAGCGAAAGCGAGUCUGAAUAGGGCGUUUAGUAUUUGGUCGUAGACCCGAAACCAGGUGAUCUACCCUUGGUCAGGUUGAAGUUCAGGUAACACUGAAUGGAGGACCGAACCGACUUACGUUGAAAAGUGAGCGGAUGA
RNAcentral lists this ribosomal RNA (337 nucleotides) under Staphylococcus aureus. RNAcentral describes it as "partial 23S ribosomal RNA". It matches the Rfam family "Bacterial large subunit ribosomal RNA", at positions 467 to 807 of the family's 2925-position model. The record is from RNAcentral. Lineage: Bacteria; Bacillati; Bacillota; Bacilli; Caryophanales; Staphylococcaceae.